RNAcentral lists this ribosomal RNA (492 nucleotides) under uncultured bacterium. Its description in RNAcentral is "partial 16S ribosomal RNA". It matches the Rfam family "Bacterial small subunit ribosomal RNA", at positions 29 to 507 of the family's 1533-position model. The record is from RNAcentral.
AGUGAACGCUGGCGGUAGGCCUAACACAUGCAAGUCGAACGGCAGCACAGUAAGAGCUUGCUCUUACGGGUGGCGAGUGGCGGACGGGUGAGGAAUACAUCGGAAUCUACUUUUUCGUGGGGGAUAACGUAGGGAAACUUACGCUAAUACCGCAUACGACCUACGGGUGAAAGCAGGGGAUCUUCGGACCUUGCGCGAUUGAAUGAGCCGAUGUCGGAUUAGCUAGUUGGCGGGGUAAAGGCCCACCAAGGCGACGAUCCGUAGCUGGUCUGAGAGGAUGAUCAGCCACACUGGAACUGAGACACCGUCCAGACUCCUACGGGAGGGAGCAGUGGGGAAUAUUGGACAAUGGGCGCAAGCCUGAUCCAACCAUACCGCGUGGGUUAAGAAGGCCUUCGGGUUGUAAAGCCCUUUUGUUGGGAAAGAAAAGCAGCAGGUUAAUACCCCGCUGUUCUGACGGUACCCAAAGAAUAAGCACCGGCUAACUUCGUG